RNAcentral lists this ribosomal RNA (3567 nucleotides) under Triticum aestivum (bread wheat). RNAcentral's name for it is "partial small subunit ribosomal RNA". The record is from RNAcentral. Lineage: Eukaryota; Viridiplantae; Streptophyta; Magnoliopsida; Poales; Poaceae.
AUGGCGGAAGCUCUGCUUCUGCCGGCGGUACGCAUCACGGCCGGCAAGGCGGCCGACGCGCUCGUCCAGGGCGUGGCCGGCAUGUGGGGCGUCGACGCCGACCGCCGCAAGCUGGAGCGCCAGCUGCUGGCCGUCCAGUGCAAGCUGGCCGACGCGGAGCUCAAGAGCGGGGUCAACCCGGCCGUCCGGCGGUGGAUCAAGGACCUGCGGACCGCCGCCUACCAGGCCGACGACGUCCUCGACGACUUCCACCACGAGGCGCUGCGCCGCGAAGCCCGGAUCGGCGAGUCGGCCGCCCGCAAGGUGCUCGGCUAUUUCACGCUGCCGCACAACCCGCUUCUGUUCCGUCUCGCAAUGAGCUGGAGGCUGAACAGUGUCCUCAAAAAGAUCGAUCUGCUUGUCGCGGAGAUGAACAGUUUCGGCCUGGAGAACCAUGCCGAGGCGCCGCAUGCUGUUCUUUGCCGGCAGACGCACUCGGCGAUCGACGACCCUGCGCAGAUCUUCGGCAGAGAUCUCGACAAGGAGGCGGUGGUGAACCUGUUGCUCGGCCAGCAAGAUCAUCAGAAAGUGCAGGUCCUGCCCGUCUUUGGGAUGGGUGGUCUGGGCAAGACCACGCUUGCCAAGAUGGUGUACAACGACCCCAAGGUCCAGCAACAUUUUCAGUUACUCAUGUGGCACUGUGCGUCGGACAGCUUCGAGACCGCCGCCCUUGUGAAGUCCAUCAUCGAGUUGGCUACGAGAGGGAGAUGCGACAUUCCAGACACAGUCGAGCUGCUGCGAGGGAGGCUUCAGGAGGUCAUUGGCUGGAAAAGGUUUCUGCUUGUUCUUGACGAUGUCUGGAAUGAAGAACAGCGAAAGUGGGAGGAUAGCCUGAAAUCAGCGUUGUGUUCCGUCGGCGGUUCCGGAAGCGUUAUAAUCGUCACGACUCGGAGCCCACGAGCAGCGUCUAUAAUGGGCACGCUUCAAACCCAUGAGCUGGCACAUCUGAGUGAACAACACUCAUGGGAAUUGUUCUCAAAGAAAGCAUUUAAGGGAAAUGUGCGAGAGCAGGCAGAGUUGAUGUCGAUCGGCAAGCGUAUCGUCAGCAAAUGCAAGGGGCACCCUCUUGCUCUGAGUGCAAUGGGGGGUUUGAUGUGUUCAAAAGGACGGGCCUGGGAAUGGGAGGCCAUUGCAGAAAGCAAUAUUGGGGAUAGUGUUGCAGGCAAACAAGAAAUCAUAUCCAUACUCAAAUUGAGCUACCAACACUUAUCCUCUGAAAUGAAGCAAUGCUUUGCCUUCUGCGCCGUCUUCUCCAAGAACAGUGAGAUGGAAAAAAGCAUGUUGAUCCAACUAUGGAUGGCCAAUGGGUUUAUUCAAGAAGAGGGAAUGAUGGAUUUGGAGCAGAAAGGCGAAUUUGUUUUCAACGAGUUGGUUUGGAGAUCCUUCCUUCAGGAUGUGGAAGUGAAACCAUUUGAUGGCCCAGCUUCAAGGCAUGGUUUGGUUGGAUGUGGGAUGCAUGAUUUAAUGCAUGACCUAGCAAAACAUGUUACGGGUGAAUGCGCAACUAUGCAAGAGUUGAUUCAGAAGAAAGCAUAUGUAGAAGAUGUCUUUCACAUGAAAAUAUCAUCGGAUGAAUUGGAACAAAGCAACGGAUUACUGAAAAAUAAGGAAUCUCUCCGAACUCUGUUAGCACCGUCAUCAUCACAUAAGGAUCUCAGCAAGUUAAGGCUGACGUCGUUAAGAGCAUUAUGUUGUCGUGGCCUUCAUAUCCGUCAACCCAUAAAGACAAAGCAUUUGCGAUAUCUUGACCUGUCUCACUCUGAAAUUGUUACAUUGCCAGAUUCGGUAUGCAUGUUGUACAACUUACAGUCGCUGAGGCUCAAUCAUUGCCACAAGCUCCGAUAUUUACCUGAAGGCAUCAGAAGCAUGAAAAAACUUCACCAUCUCUAUCUUUUUGAGUGUGAUAAACUGGAGCGGAUGCCCCCAAAGAUUAGUCAACUAAGCAACCUGCACACCCUAACAUCGUUUGUUGUGGGCACUGGAGAUGGUUGUGGAAUUGAUCAACUCAAAGAUCUAAAAUACCUUAGCCACCGGUUGGAACUAUACAAUUUGAUAAAAAUAGAGAGUGUGGUGGAUGCAAAAGAAGCCAAACUCUAUCAGAAAAAAAAUCUAACUGAACUGUCGCUAUGCUGGGGUCGUCGAAAAUAUCACGGGCCUCAAGAUGAUGUUGGUAACAUGGAACAAGUAUUGGAGGCUCUUGCACCUCAUAGUGAGAUCAAAGUAUUGGAGAUACAUGGUUAUGGUGGCACUAAAUUCUCAUCAUGGAUGAUGCACUCUCAGAUGUGCCAGUGCCUAAGAAAACUCAUAAUCUUCAACUGCCCAAAAUGCAAACAUCUCCCAUCCGCACCGCUGUUGGUCUCCCUCGAGUAUUUGUCCUUAGGUUACAUGGAUAGCCUGACCAUGAUAUGCAAGGAGACUGAUGUGGAGGUUGAAGGAUGCAAUGCAUCUCGUCAGAUCUUCCCAAAGCUAAAAAGAAUGUUCUUAGAAAACUUACCAGAGUUGGAGAGAUGGACAGAAAACAGUACUGCAGGGGAACCUCCUCAUAGCUUGGUGAUGUUUCCUCUGCUUGAAGAGCUAAGUAUGUAUGCCUGUCCGAAGGUUGCAAGUGUUCCGAGCAGCCCAGUUAUAGAGAAGCUGCGGAUAAUGGAAUGUUACAGCCUUCCAAUCAGCUCAAUCGCUCAUCUGACAACGCUCUCUGAGCUUGAGUUUGGUGGAGAAUUAAUUCGUUCUGCAAGCAUGCCUUUGGGCUCUUGGCUAUCCCUCGUGAAAUUAAGUGUUAGCUCACUGGGUGAUAUGAUGCUGCCUCCAGGGGACCAGCAAAGCCAUAGGCCCUUGGAAACCCUUCGGAGUAUGUGGCUAUCCGGUCCCAAUUGCUUUGAAACGACAUCCACUUUGUCAAAAUCGCACCUGCUGAGGCUCUGGGAGUGCUUUGCCUUUGUUGAAGAAUUGUGCAUUUCUGGGUGCGACGAACUUGUCCACUGGCCGACGGAGGAGCUCCGGAACCUGGCUCGUCUCCGUUUUCUGCGCAUUAGCUUCUGUGUUAAGCUCAAGGGGAAGGGCUCGCCGUCUGAUGAAAUCCUUCCGCCGCCCCAGCUGGAGAUGUUAAGCAUUCACAACUGUAGCAGCUUACGGUAUAUUCCCGAGGUGGCUGCAUCCCUUGAUGAAUUAGUGAUAGGAGAAUGCACGUGUUUGAUCGCGCUGCCUUCAAAUCUAUCCAAGCUGAGGGUGCUCCGGAUUCAGGGCUGCAGUGGCUUGAAAACUUUGCCAGAUGGCCUCACCUCUCUUGAGCAGCUGACAAUCGAGAGGUGUACAGGGAUAGAAAAAUUCCCGCAGGACCUCCUCCAACGGCUCCCAGCACUCAAGUCCUUGAAGAUAGUUGGUUGCCCCAACUUGCAAAGACAUUGCAGACAAGGUGGGGAGUAUUUCCACUUGAUUUCCUCUAUUCCACAUAAGGACAUUCCAGCAGCAGAAACUGAGUCUGGCAGGAUGAACCAGACGUUUUUAAAGAGGUUAAUGCCCUCCUGCUGA